Molecule: ribosomal RNA, 625 nt
Filed under: uncultured bacterium
Lineage: Bacteria
Description: bacterial SSU rRNA
Rfam family: Bacterial small subunit ribosomal RNA
Source: RNAcentral
AGUGGCGGACGGGUGAGUAACGCGUGAGAAUUUGCCUUUAGGAGGGGGAUAACAAUUGGAAACGAAUGCUAAUACCCCAUAUGCUUUCGAGUGAAAUGGAUUUAUAUUUAUCCGCCUAGAGAGAAGCUCGCGUCUGAUUAGCUUGUUGGUAAGGUAAGAGCUUACCAAGGCGACGAUCAGUAUCUGGUUUGAGAGGACGAUCAGACACACUGGAACUGAGACACGGUCCAGACUCCUACGGGAGGCAGCAGUGGGGAAUUUUCCGCAAUGGGCGAAAGCCUGACGGAGCAAUACCGCGUGAGGGAAGACUGCCUAUGGGUUGUAAACCUCUUUUUUCAGGGAGGAAUAAAUGACGUGUACCUGAAGAAUAAGCAUCGGCUAACUCCGUGCCAGCAGCCGCGGUAAGACGGAGGAUGCAAGUGUUAUCCGGAAUCACUGGGCGUAAAGCGUCUGUAGGUGGUUUGAUAAGUCAACUGUUAAAUCUUGAGGCUCAACUUCAAAAUCGCAGUCGAAACUAUUAGACUAGAGUAUAGUAGAGGUAAAGGGAAUUUCCAGUGGAGCGGUGAAAUGCGUAGAUAUUGGAAAGAACACCGAUGGCGAAAGCACUUUACUGGGCUAUUACUAA